UUGAAUUGUUUGUUUGAAUUGGCUUAAAACCCCAAUUCAGCAUCCAUAUCCAUAACACCUGUGCACUGUUGGAUGACCUAGACUCUUGUAGUCUUGGAAGUCCACUUUUACACCAAACAAUUUGUAACAAAUGUAGUCUUAUUAUAACAUAAUA
This 154-nucleotide unclassified non-coding RNA is filed under the name uncultured Cryptococcus. RNAcentral describes it as "sequence contains ITS1". The record is from RNAcentral. Lineage: Eukaryota; Fungi; Basidiomycota; Tremellomycetes.